This 465-nucleotide ribosomal RNA is filed under the name uncultured bacterium. RNAcentral's name for it is "bacterial SSU rRNA". It matches the Rfam family "Bacterial small subunit ribosomal RNA", at positions 338 to 795 of the family's 1533-position model. The record is from RNAcentral.
CCUACGGGUUGCACCAGUGGGGAAUAUUGCACAAUGGGCGCAAGCCUGAUGCAGCCAUGCCGCGUGUAUGAAGAAGGCCUUCGGGUUGUAAGGUGCUUUCAGCGGGGAGGAAGGUGUUGUGGUUAAUAACCACAGCAAUUGACGUUACCCGCAGAAGAAGCACCGGCUAACUCCGUGCCAGCAGCCGCGGUAAUACGGAGGGUGCAAGCGUUAAUCGGAAUUACUGGGCGUAAAGCGCACGCAGGCGGUCUGUCAAGUCGGAUGUGAAAUCCCCGGGCUCAACCUGGGAACUGCGUUCGAAACUGGCAGGCUGGAGUCUUGCAGAGGGGGGUAGAAUUCCAGGUGUAGCGGUGAAAUGCGUAGAGAUCUGGAGGAAUACCGGUGGCGAAGGCGGCCCCCUGGACAAAGACUGACGCUCAGGUGCGAAAGCAUGGGGAGCAAACAGGAUUAGAUACCCCUGUAGUC